GGUCAAGAAGAGAAGCGCAAACGGUGGAUGCCUUGGCAGUAAGAGGCGAAGAAGGACGUGGAAUCCUGCGAAAAGCUAUGGGGAGCUGGAAACGAGCGUUGAGCCAUAGAUGUCCGAAUGGGGGAACCCGGCUGCAGCGAUGCGGUCAUUUGCAUUUGAAUACAUAGGAUGCAAAGGCGAACUCGGGGAACUGAAACAUCUAAGUACCCGAAGGAAAAGAAAUCAAGAGAGAUUCUCCAAGUAGCGGCGAGCGAACGGGGAGGAGCCUGGCGUGAUUUAUUAUUGAACUGAGUAGAACAAUUUGGGAAAGUUGGCGAUAGAGGGUGAAAGCCCCGUAUACGAAGGUUUGAUGAGGAACUAGGCACGCGAACAAGUAGGCCGGGACACGUGAAAUCCUGGUUGAAGAUGGGUGGACCAUCAUCCAAGGCUAAAUACU
Molecule: ribosomal RNA, 436 nt
Filed under: Legionella pneumophila
Lineage: Bacteria; Pseudomonadati; Pseudomonadota; Gammaproteobacteria; Legionellales; Legionellaceae
Description: partial 23S ribosomal RNA
Rfam family: Bacterial large subunit ribosomal RNA
Source: RNAcentral